RNAcentral lists this ribosomal RNA (253 nucleotides) under uncultured bacterium. RNAcentral describes it as "partial 16S ribosomal RNA". It matches the Rfam family "Bacterial small subunit ribosomal RNA", at positions 524 to 776 of the family's 1533-position model. The record is from RNAcentral.
UACAGAGGGUGCAAGCGUUGUUCGGAAUUACUGGGCGUAAAGCGUGCGUAGGCGGUUCGUUGUGUCUGUGGUGAAAGCCCCGGGCUUAACCUGGGAAUGGCCAUGGAAACUGGCGAGCUGGAGUGUGGCAGAGGGGGGUGGAAUUCCGCGUGUAGCAGUGAAAUGCGUAGAGAUGCGGAGGAACACCGAUGGCGAAGGCAGCCCCCUGGGCUAACACUGACGCUGAGGCACGAAAGCGUGGGGAGCAAACAGG